This is a long non-coding RNA of Exaiptasia diaphana, 334 nucleotides long. RefSeq lists it as uncharacterized. The transcript has 3 exons. Lineage: Eukaryota; Metazoa; Cnidaria; Anthozoa; Actiniaria; Aiptasiidae. The record is from RefSeq and is a predicted model, not a curated record.
UUUCUUGAUUUCUUUCCAGAGCUGUCAUCUUCAAUAGACUUAACCGUUUUUACCUCAAGGAAGACAGCAGUCCUUGUCAGGUCCAACUUUCCUGAACGUGGAGACAUCAUCCAGCGAAAAGUCACCAGUGAUAUUCAUACCUAUUAAGUCAGAUACACCAUAUAGAUCUUAGAGGAAAACCAUAACAAUGCAUUUUGGUGUACUUCUCGUGGUUAGUUUUGCACUGGUCAAGCUUUCUGUACAUGGUGCAUGCUUACUCGAGCCACGAAAUCUGACAGUGACUAGAAUCCAAAGCCGUGUUUUGAACAUCUCGUGGGUGAAGCCUGAAAAUAAU